This 566-nucleotide ribosomal RNA is filed under the name uncultured bacterium. Its description in RNAcentral is "bacterial SSU rRNA". It matches the Rfam family "Bacterial small subunit ribosomal RNA", at positions 54 to 636 of the family's 1533-position model. The record is from RNAcentral.
CAUGCAGUCGAGCGAGGAGAUUUCCUUCGGGGAUGAACCUAGCGGCGGACGGGUGAGUAACACGUGGGCAACCUGCCUUAUAGAGGGGAAUAGCCUUCCGAAAGGAAGAUUAAUACCGCAUAAGAUUACAUCUUCGCAUGAAGAAGUAAUUAAAGGAGUAAUCCGCUAUAAGAUGGGCCCGCGGCGCAUUAGCUAGUUGGUGAGGUAACGGCUCACCAAGGCGACGAUGCGUAGCCGACCUGAGAGGGUGAUCGGCCACAUUGGGACUGAGACACGGCCCAGACUCCUACGGGAGGCAGCAGUGGGGAAUAUUGCACAAUGGGGGAAACCCUGAUGCAGCAACGCCGCGUGAGUGAUGAAGGUCUUCGGAUCGUAAAGCUCUGUCUUCAGGGACGAUAAUGACGGUACCUGAGGAGGAAGCCACGGCUAACUACGUGCCAGCAGCCGCGGUAAUACGUAGGUGGCAAGCGUUGUCCGGAUUUACUGGGCGUAAAGGGUGCGUAGGCGGAUGAUUAAGUCAGAUGUGAAAUACCAGGGCUCAACCCUGGGGCUGCAUUUGAUACUGG